AGAGUUUGAUCAUGGCUCAGAACGAACGCUGGCGGCAGGCCUAACACAUGCAAGUCGAACGCCCCGCAAGGGGAGUGGCAGACGGGUGAGUAACGCGUGGGAACGUGCCUUUCGGUUCGGAAUAGGCCGGGGAAACCCGGGUUAAUACCGGAUACGUCCUUAGGGAGAAAGAUUUAUCGCCGAAAGAUCGGCCCGCGUCU
This 200-nucleotide ribosomal RNA is filed under the name uncultured bacterium. RNAcentral's name for it is "partial 16S ribosomal RNA". It matches the Rfam family "Bacterial small subunit ribosomal RNA", at positions 8 to 238 of the family's 1533-position model. The record is from RNAcentral.